GGGAGCAGCCAGGAGCAAGAGGGCAAACAGUGUGGAUCCGUGGACAGCACAGGCGUGGGCUGCAUGGGCUUUCCACAGUUCUCUGUGAACGUGUCUGCUCUUCCUCACAACUGUGAACCCCAUGGAAGAGCAUAAAUACUUGCAGAACUACAUCUUCUGGUCCGCCGCGACGUGGGCCGCCUAAUGACACUGCUGAUCAAACCUCAUGAGUACC
Molecule: long non-coding RNA, 214 nt
Filed under: Mustela putorius furo (domestic ferret)
Lineage: Eukaryota; Metazoa; Chordata; Mammalia; Carnivora; Mustelidae
Description: lncRNA (ENSMPUG00000028823.1)
Source: RNAcentral